This 496-nucleotide ribosomal RNA is filed under the name uncultured bacterium. RNAcentral describes it as "bacterial SSU rRNA". It matches the Rfam family "Bacterial small subunit ribosomal RNA", at positions 28 to 517 of the family's 1533-position model. The record is from RNAcentral.
GAUGAACGCUAGCGGCAGGCUUAAUACAUGCAAGUCGUGGGGCAGCAGGUUUGUAGCAAUACAGAUGCUGGCGACCGGCAAACGGGUGCGGAACACGUACAGAACCUUCCUUUGAGCGGGGAAUAGCCCAGAGAAAUUUGGAUUAAUACCCCAUAGUAUAAUGAAGUGGCAUCACUUUAUAUUAAAGAUUUAUCACUCGAAGAUGGCUGUGCAGCUGAUUAGGUAGUUGGCGGGGUAAAGGCCCACCAAGCCUGCGAUCAGUAACUGGUGUGAGAGCACGACCAGUCACACGGGCACUGAGACACGGGCCCGACUCCUACGGGAGGCAGCAGUAAGGAAUAUUGGUCAAUGGAGGCAACUCUGAACCAGCCAUGCCGCGUGGAGGAUGAAGGUCCUCUGGAUUGUAAACUUCUUUAUAUGGGACGAAAAAAGGCUUUUCUAAGUCGUCUGACGGUACCAUAUGAAUAAGCACCGGCUAACUCCGUGCCAGCAGCCG